UGGUGUGGGGUUGUAUGAGUGCGUGUGGCAUGGACAGCUUACACAUCUGGAAAGGCACUGUGAAGAAGGACUUGCUGUUAUGGGGAUUAGCCAAUCAGCGGCUUCGUUUCGGGGUCACAGAGAGAACACAGUUUUAGCGCUAUUAGUUUUAGUUUCGUUUUGAGUUGGUUGUGAGAUUGGCCGGUAAACGCAUUGUAGAAUUUACUGAGGUGAAUAGAUGUCUUCCAUGUCGAUAUCUGUGCAUGUGUGCGUUCAGAGACAUAACCACACACACAUACUGUACGUACAUGAAGACAGAUAAUCCUCUGCUGAGUAUCAAUAAAACCAUCAAAGAGAUUUACAGCAUCCAAUUGCAUUCUUAUCGAUGCACCACAGUGGUCACUUGUCCCCAACUAGCUACAGUUACAGUCCUAGCUAUCAAGUCAUCAUUACAGGCACCAUCAGUUCCAUCCAGACGUUGUCUCUUUCAGGGAAGACCUUGCAUUUUCCAACAUGACAAUGCCAGACCACAUACUGCAUCAAUUACAACAUCACGGCUGGGUGGAAGAAGGAUCCAGGUACUGAAAUGGCCAGCCUGCAGUCCAGAUCUUUCACCCACAGAAAACAUUUGGCGCAUCUUAAAGAGGAAGAUGCGACAAAGAAGACCUAAGACAGUUGAGCAACUAGAAACCUGUAUUAGACAAGAAUAGGACAACAUUCCUAUUCCUAAACUUGUGCAACUUGUUUCCUCAGUCUCCAGACGUUUGCAGACUGUUAUAAAAAAAGAGGGGAUGAAACACAGUGGUAAACAUGGCCUUGUCCCAACUUUUUUGAGAUGUGUUGACGCAGUGAAAUUUAAAAUCAACUUAUUUUCCCCUAAACAUUCUACUUUUUUUUUCAGUUUAAACAUUUGAUAUGUCAUCUAUGUUGUAUUCUGAAUAAAAUAUUGAAAUUUGAAACUUCCA
Carassius gibelio (silver crucian carp) is the source of this 944-nucleotide long non-coding RNA. RefSeq lists it as uncharacterized. The transcript is spliced from 2 exons. Lineage: Eukaryota; Metazoa; Chordata; Actinopteri; Cypriniformes; Cyprinidae. The record is from RefSeq and is a predicted model, not a curated record.